CUUUUCCUCCCCUCUCUCUCUCUAUCUGUCUCACUACAGGUGCAGUCAUGGUGAUCGUUCUCUGGGGAAGCCAAGGACUGAAGUUUAGUUUUUUUGUUUAUCCUUUCUACGCAGUAUGUUGUCUCUCAAUAGUUGAAGAAAAUCAUAUACAUGUGAUAUGUUUUGGUGGGAGUGUAACUGCCUCUGUGUCAGUCAGCGCAGUAUUUCUGAGUUAUUUAUUUUGGUAGGAACCAAAGUUCUCUAAGGCGGAACCUUUGUUUUUGUAUCGCCCGUUUCCGUCAGGACAUACUUUAGCGUAACACUCAUCAAAAAAGUCCGCUGAUUUAGUACAUGUUUUUCAGUGCUGAUGCAUCUGCAAAAUAGCUCUUAGCAUCAAGAUAAACAAUCCUACAGAGUAAUGCCAAGCUACACAACUUUCCUCAUGCAAUGCAGCUACUAAGAAACAAUUCCAUGGUAACGUCUCUGCCACCAGUCGGUGAGUGUAACUUGUUGACGGUCCCUAGAACAGGUAGCAGCCAGGCCCAGAACGUAAAUGACGUUGUUGCACAGACAUCGAUGGCGCCAACAUGCGUUUGUGAUUUUUCGCGAUACGGUGUCCUAAACCGUCCUCAACAUACUAAGCCAGUAAUGUAUUGCACUUAUGUUGAUGAAUCCGAAUGGGUGGUAAACCGAAUAUCCGGCGAAUAUCAAACCGGUGUUUCAGUUCAAGUGGUGACCGGUUUAACUGGUGACUUUCAGCCGAAUGCUUCGCUUGUUGUCAUGGCUACGCCAGAUGUUGGAAAUCGGGACCAGACACGUAGCUGUCCUUGCGAUUGCCUCAUUGAUUUGUUAUUCAAUAAAAUGUCAAAAACAUUACAAUCUCAUUCGUUUUUGGAGUGUAAUUGGAAGAAACUUGUCACGUAGAACCGUUCUAAGCCGAAAUAAAUGGAAAAUGAAUGUUUAAAAUAUGAUACAUUACGGGAUUCGAAUUCAUACCAUUGCGGGGAAAAAAUAUAACAAUCCGCAAUUCCAUUCCAUUGUGCCGUUGACCCACUGGGGAAAUUACCGCCGUAGUAUAAUAGAAUUCGCAAAUACUUCUUGAAAACACGAAAGGCAGCCAGAUCAACUUGUGACCCUACUUUCCAUGUAGUUAUGACCAUGCAUUGGUCACGUAUCCCAAAAAUAAGACGCCUUUACAUCCAGUUAAUCCAAACCUAAUGUUGUGUUGCCCUCCACUGCUUGAAACUAGCCAAAAACCCUGUUAUGCGCUCAUUCGAUCAUUUCGGUCGCCUGAUGUGGUGUUGUCGCGUCCUCCUUCUUUAUAUCCUCUCUGUAAGCAAAGCAGCGACUUCGGAAAUCAAUGUGACGCAAGGCGAUAUCUCUUUGAGAAACAACGUUUAUUCACAUGAAAACAUACAUUUCGAGAUUCGAACUCGUACCAUUGUGGGGAAAAAUAUAACAAUCCGCAAUUCCAUUCCAUUGUGCCGUUGACCCACUGGGAAAUUCGCCGCCGUAGUAUACUAGAAUUCGCAAAUACUUCUUGAAAACACGAAAGGCAGCCAGAUCAACUUGUGACCCUACUUUCCAUGUAGUUAUGACUUUCUAAAAAAUAAGACGCCUUUACACCCAGUUAAUCCAAACCUAAUGUUGUGUUGCCCUCCGCUCUUGAAGCGUGGUAAAGUUAGUUUUUAUUGGACGUUGGAUAUUCGACACAUUCGAAAAAUCUAUUUAGCACUGGCUUCGAUGGACGAAUUUGUGUCAAACCAACUUAGAUGUGUUAAUACAAGGCCUACCUAUGUAAAACAAAGCACCAUUUGAUUUUAUAAAAAAAAAUGUAAUGUUAAAAAAGGCCAUAAAUCUAUUAUGCGGCUUGACCUUUUGACCUACCCAUAGCAAAACACAUCUGGUGUAAUCAACUAACUGCCCCACACAUAACACAAAGCUUAUUUUCUCAAAACACCUACCCUUUGAUUUUAUACUAUUAUUUUAAUGUUAAAAAAGGCUAUAAAUCUAUUAUGCGGCUUGACCUUUUGACCUACCCAUAGCAAAACACAUCUGGUGUAAUCAACUAACUGCCCCACACAUAACACAAAGCUUAUUUUCUCAAAACACCUAUCCUUUGAUUUUAUAAAUAUUUUUUUAACAUUAAAUUUAUUUUAUAAAAUCAAAACGUGGGUUUGUUAUAUAUAUUUUUUUUAAAUAAAAUAAGUCUGUUAAUCGCGCGAUAAAUUUUUUAACGCCGUUAAAAUUGGUUUGCGUUAACGCCGUUAAUAACGCGUUUAACUGACAGCUCUAAUUAUAUGGUAAGAACCUGGUAAUACCAUGGAAACAAACGAGGCUUCCUUUUACAGUACAGUUUCAGCUUAAUUACUGGGUAAAUUGUCGUGUUUAACUUGGUAACAUCGCAGAACGUACAUGGUACAAGUUUGUGUUGACUGCAUGUAAAAGGGAAUAAUGUAUUACAAAUUAUAUGGUAAGAACCUAGUAAUACCAAGGAAACAAACAAGGCUUCCAUUUACAGUACAGUUUCAGCUUAAUUACUGGGUAAAUUGGUGUGUUUUACUUGGCAACGUCGCAGAACGUACAUGGUACAAGUUUGUGUUGACUGCAUGGAUAAUGGAAUGUAUCUAUUAUAAAUUAUAUGGUAAGAACCUGGUAAUACCAUGGAAACAAACGGCUUUGUACCCAGUAUUUAAGAAGAUGUACCAUAACACUAGAGGAAAACUGUUCCUGCAGAGGUUUUUACCAGGUAAGUAAUUCCAUAGUGGUAAAUCGAAUAAACC
This 2762-nucleotide long non-coding RNA is filed under the name Gadus morhua (Atlantic cod). Its description in RNAcentral is "lncRNA (ENSGMOG00000033151.1)". The record is from RNAcentral. Lineage: Eukaryota; Metazoa; Chordata; Actinopteri; Gadiformes; Gadidae.